This 366-nucleotide ribosomal RNA is filed under the name bacterium. RNAcentral describes it as "partial 23S ribosomal RNA". It matches the Rfam family "Bacterial large subunit ribosomal RNA", at positions 2545 to 2925 of the family's 2925-position model. The record is from RNAcentral.
UCCUGGGGGUGAAGCAGCUCCCAAGGGUUUGGCUGUUCGCCAAUUAAAGCGCUACGUGAGCUGGGUUCAAACCGUCGUGAGACAGGUUGGUCCCUAUCUACCGCAGGCGUUGGAGUCUUGAGGGAAGUUGGUGAUAGUACGAGAGGACCUCACUGAACCAACCUCUGGUGUACCAGUUGUUCCGCCAGGAGCAUCGCUGGGUAGCUAAGUUGGGCAGGGAUAAGAGCUGAAAGCAUCUAAGCUCGAAGCCCAUCCCAAGAUUAGGACUCCUAGGCCGGUCGGAGACUACGACCUUGAUAGGGCGCAGGUGUAAGCUCAGCAAUGAGUUCAGCCGAGCGCUACUAAUAGGCCGAUCUGCUUCUCUUG